Molecule: ribosomal RNA, 442 nt
Filed under: uncultured bacterium
Lineage: Bacteria
Description: partial 16S ribosomal RNA
Rfam family: Bacterial small subunit ribosomal RNA
Source: RNAcentral
CCUACUGGUGGCAUCAUUGGGGCAUCUUGCACAAUGGGGGGAACCCUGAUGCAGCGACGCCGCGUGGGUUCUUCCUUCUUUCUUUCUUUCCCUCCCUCUCCGCCGUUCCGCCGCCCUGCCGGUCCCUGCGUCAGAAGCCCCGGCUAAAUACGUGCCAGCAGCCGCGGUAAUACGUAUGGUGCCCGCGUUAUCCGGCUUUCCUGGGUGUCCCGGGAGCGCAGGCGGCCCGGCACGCCUGAUGUGAAAGCCCGCGGCCCAACCGCGGGACUGCAUUGGGAACUACCGGGCUGGAGUGCCGGAGAGGUAGGCGGAAUUCCUAGUGUAGCGGUGAAAUGCGUAGAUAUUAGGAGGAACACCAGUGGCGAAGGCGGCCUACUGGACGGUGACUGACGCUGAGGCUCGAAAGCGUGGGGAGCAAACAGGAUUAGAGACCCUGGUAGUC